RNAcentral lists this long non-coding RNA (2003 nucleotides) under Malus domestica (apple). Its description in RNAcentral is "long non-coding RNA (MDOM_LNC001298)". The record is from RNAcentral. Lineage: Eukaryota; Viridiplantae; Streptophyta; Magnoliopsida; Rosales; Rosaceae.
ACUAAAUUUAAAGUAAGUUGAAAGGACAAAUGAAAAAUUUGUUGUUAACUUGGAAGAGUAAAGCUUAGCUACUAAUGAAAUUUAAGUAAUAAUGUUUGGGAACUAUUAUUGGCACUCCAUAAAUUUAAUUGUACACUCCUUAUAAAGUUGUUUCUUCAAUUAGAGUGGUUUUCCUGAUUGGAGUUUGUUUCUUAAUUAGAGAAGGAUCCAUAACUAGAUUCCAAUUAGGAUUAGUAUUCCUUAUUGAAGAUGAUCUUUAUUAUGUCAUAUAUAGAGCUAUUGCACUAGUUUUUGAAGAGGAGCAAAACAAUAAGUUGUAUACCACUUGAGGAGUUAAGUGAGAGAAUAUUGUAAUUUGUAAGAGCAAUGUGUGUGUGAGAGAAAAUAAGGGAUAAAAGUUUAUUUCUUGUUCUUAUUCUUUCAGAUUUGUUGUCAAGUUGUAAUUCAAGAGACUGAGCAAAAUUCUUUAUUGUACUUAUUAUUAAUAUAGCGAAAGUUUGUUAUUGCUACCAAACUUACAUAGCCAAACCACGUAAAUAACAUGUAUACCACGUGUGGUGUUUAUUAAUUUCCCAUUCUUAAACAUGGUACUCACAAUAAUUUAUAAUCAACUUAUUAUUAUCUCCUUUUUGAAAAAUAAAAAUGAAAUAAACACGCCUACGUGCCCGCCUUGUGCCAUUAUCGACGGUAUAGUACAACAUACUAGACCCUAGCUAGAUUCUUUUGUUCCUUGUCUUUCUAUGCCAAAAUAAUCAUACAAAAGAAACUCAGAACAUGUUAAUCAGUGUUGAGUAUUACAGUAUAGUGGUAUUCUUCUUUACUUGUAUUUGUAAGUGAGAGAUUUUAGUUUGAUUCUAGCCAAAAACAAACUUAAAAUACAUUAUUGUUUGCCCAUUAUGAAGUUUAGCUCACUCUCCUAUCUCUAGGUGUAAAUCAUAUCUUUUGUUUCGAGGAAAAAAAAGAACAUGAUGAUCAGUAUCGAUGAAAAAUAAAUUAAUACGAAAUUUACAUAUGUGAUUGUAAUUCAGUUUUUGUUACGUGACAAAUAAACAUUCCACGCAAACUACAACCAUUUGAUAGAUUAUGACCUACCACAAGCCAUGCAUGUGUAGGAGGAGUUGCACUGCAUCUGCUUGCACUCAGAGUCCCAGUCUCCCAGAGCCAUCCGUUACAGCAAAGACACAAAGAGAAAAUUAAAUGUGCAGAACCAAUAUUUUAGAUUUUACUGCAUGACUCUAUAUCAUCAUACAUACGUUCAAUCCUUCAAUCCACGAUCCAAAAGAAAACAUCAUUCAUUUAUGUUACUGCGCCUGUAGAGACACCACACUCGACAAAAACCUAUUGAAGUGCACUCGCUCAUUUUUUAACAACUUGAAGUCAGGUCUUUUUUUUUCAACUAUUACAGAUAAAAAAGUAAUGGAAAAAAUUUGUACGAUGUGCGUGUACUGUAUACUGUAUCUUUAUCUCCACCCAAGGAGAUACGGGAUGGAAUAUCCCUAUGAGCGACUGUGCUAAUCAUUAUAUGUUUUGGCCACGUCCGUUUACGCUUUAAAGAGGAAGGUUAGAUCUUUCAAUCUUAUGUUGUGAGGGAUGUGACGUAUGUUAGGUCCAUAAGUACCCCAACUUUUGAUGUUCUAUGAUUCACCUCCGAAUAUGUACAUUAUAUAAUUAAUGUGUGCAUGGGUUUGAGGGGGUUGUAGUUAAAUCUUUUGUCUCGUGAUAAACCUUCUCUUAGAAUUUUGGGUUUAGGGUAAUUAGUGAUAGAUAGCCUACACUUUAUAUAUGAAUACGUUAGCUAAUAGCACUUAUUACCGAUCCUAUGUUUACUACUAUCAUGUUUCGUGGUUUUCAAUAUUUAGUACAUCAAAUUUUUUUGUCCCAGAGUCAUACCUAAAGUGUAAAUUUUGGGACAGUCUCAUACGUCUGUUAGUUAAACUAUUAAGUCUCCCCUUAACUGAUGAUGUGGCGCCUAUGGGACAAUGACUAGGCGCCACGUGUCAAUA